GGGAAUUAAGAUUAACAAAUGACGGACAAAGAUAUUUCGUUAAAUCCUUGGACACUGCAGGAGCGAUCAAUAUCUGGAAAGAGGAGCGUAGUACAAUGGACAUCAUGGUGGAAGGGCCGCAGUCGAGUCAAGUGGCGGGGAUGUUGCACGAGAGAGAAAUACCGUUUGCUAUAGCUAUUGGAGACCUUAGUGCUAUGAUCGAGAAGGAACAAGACGUCAAUAAAAAGGCUAGACGUAACGCUGACAGUGG
This 250-nucleotide unclassified non-coding RNA is filed under the name Melitaea cinxia (Glanville fritillary). Its description in RNAcentral is "misc RNA ENSMCXG00005015626.1". The record is from RNAcentral. Lineage: Eukaryota; Metazoa; Arthropoda; Insecta; Lepidoptera; Nymphalidae.